RNAcentral lists this ribosomal RNA (481 nucleotides) under uncultured bacterium. RNAcentral's name for it is "partial 16S ribosomal RNA". It matches the Rfam family "Bacterial small subunit ribosomal RNA", at positions 28 to 523 of the family's 1533-position model. The record is from RNAcentral.
GACGAACGCUGGCGGCGUGCUUAACACAUGCAAGUCGAACGGUGAAAGGGAGCUUGCUCCCUGGAUCAGUGGCGAACGGGUGAGUAACACGUGGGCAACCUGCCCCUGACUCUGGGAUAACGCUUCGAAAGAGGUGCUAAUACCGGAUACGAACUCCCUUGGCAUCUUGGGAGUUGGAAAGUUUUUCGGUCAGGGAUGGGCCCGCGGCCUAUCAGCUUGUUGGUGAGGUAACGGCUCACCAAGGCGACGACGGGUAGCCGGCCUGAGAGGGCGACCGGCCACACUGGGACUGAGACACGGCCCAGACUCCUACGGGAGGCAGCAGUGGGGAAUAUUGCGCAAUGGGCGAAAGCCUGACGCAGCAACGCCGCGUGAGGGAUGACGGCCUUCGGGUUGUAAACCUCUUUCAGCAGGGAAGAAGCGAAAGUGACGGUACCUGCAGAAGAAGCACCGGCUAACUACGUGCCAGCAGCCGCAGUAA